Non-coding RNA from Coturnix japonica (Japanese quail), 393 nucleotides. The record is from RefSeq and is a predicted model, not a curated record. Lineage: Eukaryota; Metazoa; Chordata; Aves; Galliformes; Phasianidae.
CCUCACCCCUUCACCAGGUGCUCAAUCACCACUUCAAGCCAUCACCUGCAGCCAACAGUGCUUCGUUGUGCUCUUCAUUAAAGAAGCAGACGGAUUAAAGCAGUGAUAUGGAGAAGUCACUUUGGUCUACGUGGAAUGUUUUGAUCUACCCGCUGAAAAACAAGAGCAGAGAGGUGACCUGAGCAGGAACCUGGGAGAUGCAGCACCCCCAGCUGAGACACCACGACGACUUUAAAUGAGCCCCAAAGGAGACGAAGCGAAAGACCACCAGAAUUCAGCAAGUAUGCGUGGUAUGAACCACUGCAGACGUCAGUACGUACGUGCAGAAGCAUUCAGUCACUGCUGGAGUCAGAAGUGACAAAACAACUCCAGGCAUCUCAAAUCAUUUCAUAA